GCCUAAAAUCAAGCCUUUAACUCUUAUUAUUCAACCCCAUUUCUAUUCCUUCCCCUAAAUAAAACAUUUUAUUACUUUAGUAGAGGUGAUCGAAAAAUUAAUUAGCGCUUCACACACAGUACCGCAAGGGAACGAUGAAAUAGCUUUGAAAUAGACUAAAAGCCAAAAACAGCAGAGAUUACCCCUCGUACCUUUUGCAUCAUGGUUUAGCCAGUCCUAACCAAGCAAGGCGAACCCAAGUUUGGUCCCCCGAAACUAGGCGAGCUACUUCGAAACAGCUUUUAGAGCCAACCCAUCUCUGUUGCAAAAGAGUGGGAUGAUUUCCAAGUAGAGGUGAAAAGCCUAUCGAGCCUAGAGAUAGCUGGUUAUUCAAGAAAUGAAUUUUAGUUCACCCUUAAGCCCCCCCCCGGUAACCUAAACACGACUCCCCCGCUUAAGAGCUAUUCAAUUAAGGCACAGCUUAUUUGAAAAAGAAUCCAAUCUAUAAUUCAGGGUAAGCCACGACUGCCUUGUUAAGUGGGCUUGAAAGCAGCCACCUUUCAAAAAGCGUUUAAGCUUAGCAUAUUCUAUUAAUAAAAUUCCACAACACCCCACGAACCCGACACCACAAUUGAAUAACUCUAUAGAUUAUAGAAGAUAUGAUGCUAAAACUAGUAACAAGAAAAAGACCUUUCUCCAAAAUAUAAGUGUAUGUCAAAACGAACUCAUCAUUGACACCUAACGCCCUUGAGCCCAAGAUAAUAACCCACCAGGAAAACCUUAUUACACAAUGACGUUAACCUAACACAAGAAUAUUUCUGGAAAGAUUAAAAGAGGGAGAAGGAACUCGGCAAAUCUAAGCCCCGCCUGUUUACCAAAAACAUCGCCUCUUGAAUAGAUAUAAGAGGUCCAGCCUGCCCAGUGAUACAAUUUAACGGCCGCGGUAUACUGACCGUGCGAAGGUAGCAUAAUCACUUGUUCUUUAAAUGGGGAAUAGUAUGAACGGCACCACGAGGGCUUUACUGUCUCCUCCCUUCAAUCAGUGAAAAUGACCUCCCUGUGAAGAGGCAGGGAUACCACUAUAAGACGAGAAGACCCCAUGGAGCUUUAAACCCAACAACAGCCCAAACACCACCACCCCAAAAAGUUUUAAGGGUAUUGCUAGUUGGUUUUAGGUUGGGGUGACCGCGGAGUAUAAACUAUCCUCCACGACGAACGGGCCUACCCCCUUACCCAAGAGCUACGCCUCUAAGGAUUAACACAUUAACGUAAAAUGAUCCAAAUAUUUGAUCAACGAACCAAGUUACCCUGGGGAUAACAGCGCAAUCCAUUUUUAGAGCCCCUAUCGACAAAUGGGUUUACGACCUCGAUGUUGGAUCAGGGUAUCCAGGAGGUGCAGCCGCUUCCAAUGGUUUGUU
Molecule: ribosomal RNA, 1397 nt
Filed under: Euphlyctis adolfi
Lineage: Eukaryota; Metazoa; Chordata; Amphibia; Anura; Dicroglossidae
Description: partial 16S large subunit ribosomal RNA
Rfam family: Bacterial large subunit ribosomal RNA
Source: RNAcentral